UAGGUCCUAAGGUGUCACACACAUUUAAUUGCAAACUAAAAGUUAUCAAGGAAACUUGGUUAAGACCUUC
RNAcentral lists this transfer RNA (70 nucleotides) under Pseudocolochirus violaceus. Its description in RNAcentral is "tRNA-Cys". The record is from RNAcentral. Lineage: Eukaryota; Metazoa; Echinodermata; Holothuroidea; Dendrochirotida; Cucumariidae.